GAGAGAUGGCCGAGCGGUUGAAGGCACCGGUCUUGAAAACCGGCGACGCGUGAGCGUCCGUGGGUUCGAAUCCCACUCUCUCC
RNAcentral lists this transfer RNA (83 nucleotides) under bovine gut metagenome. It matches the Rfam family "tRNA". Rfam says of the family: Transfer RNA (tRNA) molecules are approximately 80 nucleotides in length. Their secondary structure includes four short double-helical elements and three loops (D, anti-codon, and T loops). The record is from RNAcentral.